Molecule: ribosomal RNA, 1024 nt
Filed under: uncultured Bacteroidales bacterium
Lineage: Bacteria; Pseudomonadati; Bacteroidota; Bacteroidia; Bacteroidales
Description: bacterial SSU rRNA
Rfam family: Bacterial small subunit ribosomal RNA
Source: RNAcentral
GGAUGAACGCUAGCGAUAGGCUUAACACAUGCAAGUCGAGGGGCAUCACGAAUUAGCAAUAGUUUGGUGGCGACCGGCGCACGGGUGCGUAACACGUAUACAACCUACCUUCAAUUGGGGGAUAACCUGGAGAAAUUCGGACUAAUACCCCAUAGUAAACAGAGGAGGCAUCUUUUUUGUUUUAAAGAUUUAUUGAUUGGAGAUGGGUAUGCGUAGGAUUAGCUAGUUGGUAAGGUAACGGCUUACCAAGGCGACGAUCCUUAGGGGUUCUGAGAGGAAGGUCCCCCACACUGGUACUGAGACACGGACCAGACUCCUACGGGAGGCAGCAGUGAGGAAUAUUGGUCAAUGGUCGAGAGACUGAACCAGCCAAGUCGCGUGAAGGAAGACGGCUCUAUGAGCUGUAAACUUCUUUUGUACAGGAGUAAAGUGAGACACGUGUGUUUUAUUGCAAGUACUGUACGAAUAAGCAUCGGCUAACUCCGUGCCAGCAGCCGCGGUAAUACGGAGGAUGCAAGCGUUAUCCGGAUUUAUUGGGUUUAAAGGGUGCGUAGGCGGUAUUACAAGUCAGGGGUGAAAUCUUGGUGCUUAACAUUAAAAUUGCCUUUGAAACUGUGGUACUUGAGUGUAAAAGAGGUAGGCGGAAUGUGUUGUGUAGCGGUGAAAUGCAUAGAUAUAACACAGAACACCGAUUGCGAAGGCAGCUUACUAUCAUACAACUGACGCUGAUGCACGAAAGCGUGGGGAGCAAACAGGAUUAGAUACCCUGGUAGUCCACGCAGUAAACGAUGAUUACUAGCUGUUAGCGAUAUACUGUUAGUGGCUAAGCGAAAGCAAUAAGUAAUCCACCUGGGGAGUACGUUCGCAAGAAUGAAACUCAAAGGAAUUGACGGGGGCCCGCACAAGCGGAGGAACAUGUGGUUUAAUUCGAUGAUACGCGAGGAACCUUACCCGGGCUUGAAAUGCUAUCGACCGACGGAGAGAUUCGUUAUCCAGCAAUGGCGAUAGUGUAGUGCUGCAUGGU